GAUGAACGCUGGCGGCGUGCCUAAUACAUGCAAGUCGAGCGAACAGACGAGGAGCUUGCUCCUCUGACGUUAGCGGCGGACGGGUGAGUACCACGUGGAUAACCUACCUAUAAGACUGGGAUAACUUCGGGAAACCGGAGCUAAUACCGGAUAAUAUAUUGAACUGCAUGGUUCAAUAGUGAAAGACGGUUUUGCUGUCACUUAUAGAUGGACCCGCGCCGCAUUAGCUAGUUGGUAAGGUAACGGCUUACCAAGGCAACGAUGCGUAGCCGACCUGAGAGGGUGAUCGGCCACACUGGAACUGAGACACGGUCCAGACUCCUACGGGAGGCAGCAGUAGGGAAUCUUCCGCAAUGGGCGAAAGCUUGACGGAGCAACGCCGCGUGAGUGAUGAAGGUCUUCGGAUCGUAAAACUCUGUUAUUAGGGAAGAACAAAUGUGUAAGUAACUGUGCACAUCUUGACGGUACCUAAUCAGAAAGCCACGGCUAACUACGUG
Molecule: ribosomal RNA, 497 nt
Filed under: uncultured bacterium
Lineage: Bacteria
Description: partial 16S ribosomal RNA
Rfam family: Bacterial small subunit ribosomal RNA
Source: RNAcentral